Molecule: unclassified non-coding RNA, 520 nt
Filed under: uncultured Glomus
Lineage: Eukaryota; Fungi; Glomeromycota; Glomeromycetes; Glomerales; Glomeraceae
Also listed under: 1 other name
Description: SSU rRNA
Rfam family: Eukaryotic small subunit ribosomal RNA
Source: RNAcentral
AGCAGCCGCGGUAAUUCCAGCUCCAAUAGCGUAUAUUAAAGUUGCUGCAGUUAAAAAGCUCGUAGUUGAAUUUCGGGACUAAUAUGUCGGUCGUGCCUCGGUACGUACUGGCAUUGUUGGUUUCUCCCUUCUGACGAACCAUGAUGUCAUUUAUUUGGUGUCGUGGGAAAUCAGGACUGUUACUUUGAAAAAAUUAGAGUGUUUAAAGCAGGCUCACGCUUGAAUACAUUAGCAUGGAAUAAUGAAAUAGGACGUUUGAUUCUAUUUUGUUGGUUUCUAGGAUCGACGUAAUGAUUAAUAGGGAUAGUUGGGGGCAUUAGUAUUCAAUUGUCAGAGGUGAAAUUCUUGGAUUUAUUGAAGACUAACUACUGCGAAAGCAUUUGCCAAGGAUGCUUUCAUUAAUCAAGAACGAAAGUUAGGGGAUCGAAGACGAUCAGAUACCGUCGUAGUCUUAACCAUAAACUAUGCCGACUAGGGAUCGGAUGAUGUUAAUUUUUUAAUGACUCAUUCGGCGCCUUAC